RNAcentral lists this ribosomal RNA (915 nucleotides) under uncultured archaeon. Its description in RNAcentral is "bacterial SSU rRNA". It matches the Rfam family "Archaeal small subunit ribosomal RNA", at positions 29 to 922 of the family's 1478-position model. The record is from RNAcentral.
GUUUAUGGGCUGGAUAGACAUGCUAGUCGAGCGCCUCCCAGCCACGACGGAGGCGCGGCGCACAGCUCAGUAACACGUGGCUAACCUGCCCUUGGGACAGAGACACCCCCGGGAAACUGGGGCUAAUCCCUGAUAGGUGAAGAACUCUGGAAUGAGUCUUCACCCAAAAGACGCCUAGGCCACGCUUCUAGACGUCGCCCAAGGAUGGGGCCGCGACCGAUCAGGUUGUUGGUGAGGUAACGGCCCACCAAGCCUUUUACCGGUACGGGCCGUGAGAGCGGGAGCCCGGAGAUGGGCACUGAGACAAGGGCCCAGGCCCUACGGGGCGCAGCAGUCGCGCAAACUUUGCAAUACACGAAAGUGUGACAGGGCUAUCCCGAGUGCCGUCCGCUGAGGGUGGCUUUUACCCAGUCUAGAAAGCUGGGAGAAUAAGGAGAGGGCAAGUCUGGUGUCAGCCGCCGCGGUAAUACCAGCUCUCCGAGUGGUGUGGAUGUUUAUUGGGCCUAAAGCAUCCGUAGCUGGCUGAUCAAGUCCCCUGUUAAACCCAACGAAUUAACCGUUGGAUUGCGGGGGAUACUGCUCGGCUAGGGGACGAGAGAGGCCGACGGUAUUUUCGGGGUAGGGGUGAAAUCCUAUAAUCCCGGGAAGACCACCAGUGGCGAAGGCUGUCGGCUAGAACGCGCCCAACGGUGAGGGAUGAAAGCUGGGGGAGCGAACCGGAUUAGAUACCCGGGUAGUCCCAGCUGUAAACGAUGCACGCUAGGUGUUUGGGCGGCCACGCGCCGCUCUAGUGCCGCAGGAAAGCUGUUAAGCCUGCCGCCUGGGGAGUACGGCCGCAAGGCUGAAACUUAAAGGAAUUGGCGGGGGAGCACCACAAGGGGUGAAGCUUGCGGUUUAAUUGGAGUCAACGCCGGG